Long non-coding RNA from Sciurus carolinensis (gray squirrel), 427 nucleotides. RefSeq lists it as uncharacterized. The transcript is spliced from 3 exons. Lineage: Eukaryota; Metazoa; Chordata; Mammalia; Rodentia; Sciuridae. The record is from RefSeq and is a predicted model, not a curated record.
CUGCCCCGUCACCCCGCGCGGCCCGGGAGAGUCGCAGCCAGUGCGCCCUUCGGCCGAGCCCGCCUCGGCACCCAGAGCGCUCCGGCCCUGCGGGGUUGCCAAAGAAAAGGAUGCCCGGAGCCCCCAGCCAAGCCCUGCUCGGAAAGAAAGGGCUCCCCAACAUCGCGAGGCAGCAAACUGAAAGCAAGAACAUGGCGAAGUGCAAACAAAUCCAGUCCACAAAAGGCAGAAAAAGACGAUUUGACAUCAGCUAAAUCCCUCUCUGCCGACGAGUUUUCCGAGCUCUUCUCCUCCUGUUCGCCCUCGUCUUUGAAGGAAAUCAGUUCGUCGUUGGCGCCUAGGUCAUCUCCUCCACCGCCGUUCAGCUGCGGCAUUUUUUUUCACCCACCAGCAGCAAUUUUGGAAGAAAAAUGAAGGAGGAAGAAAA